This 3697-nucleotide unclassified non-coding RNA is filed under the name Dermacentor andersoni. RNAcentral describes it as "rING finger protein unkempt-like". The record is from RNAcentral. Lineage: Eukaryota; Metazoa; Arthropoda; Arachnida; Ixodida; Ixodidae.
GUGCGCGGGCUGGCAAGAGGCAUCCAAAAUGCCGUCGACUGCUGAUCAGAAGGCUGCGCUGCCUACACAAACGGAGAAACCAAACCAUUACAAUUACCUGAAGGAGUUCCGUGUCGAGCAGUGUCCGCUGUUCGUGCAGCACAAGUGCACACAGCACAAGCCGUUCACAUGCUUUCACUGGCACUUCAAGAAUCAACGGCGCAGAAGACCCAUACGGCUCGCGCGAGACGGCACAUUCAACUACAGCCCUGAUGUGUACUGCACAAACUACGACGAGACGACAGGGAUAUGCCCCGACGGUGACGGGUGCCGCUUUCUGCACCGGACGGCGGGGGACACGGAGCGUCGCUACCAUCUACGUUACUACAAGACAGGCAUCUGUGUGUACGACACGGAUGCUCGGGGCAACUGCGUCAAAAAUGGACCCCACUGCGCCUUUGCACACGGCCUGCACGACCUGCGCUCGCCCGUCUAUGACGCCAAGGAGCAGCAGGCAUGCCUGGCCGGCGACGGCAGUUCGGCCAAUGGCCCUGACGACGCCACAAAUGGCGGACCCAACAGCUUGGACAAGGAGCGGAAUGCGCUCAACGAGGACCCGCAUUGGCAGGAUACAAAAUAUGUUUUAACUAACUACAAAACUGAGCCAUGCAAACGGCCACCCCGGCUCUGCCGGCAGGGUUAUGCGUGCCCCCAGUACCACAAUAGCCGAGACAAACGACGAAGCCCAAAGAAAUAUAAAUACAGAUCAACACCGUGCCCCAACGUGAAGCAAGGUGAUGAGUGGGGGGACCCCGCCAACUGCGACAACGGUGACAGCUGCUCCUACUGCCACACACGCACCGAGCAGCAGUUCCACCCGGAGAUCUACAAGUCAACCAAGUGCAAUGACAUGCAGCAGGCCAACUACUGCCCCCGGGGACCAUUCUGCGCUUUUGCGCACGUCGAGAAGGAGAUCUCGGCCGUCCGAGACCUCGGGCCCGACUACUCCACCAACCUGGCCGCCAUCUUAUCCAGUGCCCUGCCCUCUUCGUCAUCCUCGGCAAAUCACCAGGGCAGUUCCGGUUCCCCGGCCUGCAAGAAUGACAACCCUUUCUCACACGUUGGGUCACACGAUCACAUGGCCGAGCAGCAGCAGCAACAUGCGGCGUCUUUAGGUGAGAAAGCGUGGUAUGCUGCGCAAGCAAAUGAUUGUAGCAACAACCCAUUGCCCAACCCCAUUGGACGGCCCCGCUCAUAUAGUUCUUCCACUAACCACUCCUCCGAGUCGUUACCACUGCACCAGAAGGCCCCAGGCUCUGAACGAGAGGACCGUGAGGCAAGCAUUCGCAAGCAGCUCAAGGCCAUUGACAAUGAGCCCAUGGCGGACCCCCUGGAGAAGGCGCGCCUCAAGCAGGACGUCUGGCUGGUACACGGGCUCACACCACCCCCGAUGACGUCUACAGCCUCCUCCUCUUCGUCUUUUUACCACUCUACAAACACAGUGGAAUCGGUUGUCGGUGUAGCACUUGACGACCUUAGCCUGGAAGACAUCAAUGUUGAGGCUUCUUUAGACAAGGACCUAGAAAAUGAUUCCAACCCCGUGAGCACAUCAAUAACGCAAGGGCUAACGAGUUCAGGUUUGCUAGGAAGUUCUGCACCUAUGAACAUUCCGGGGGCAAGCGGCAUGCACUGCAAUCGGCGGCUCGGCGGCAACAUGUCACCCCCCGUGGGCUCUCUGCCCCACAGCCUUGGCCUGCAGUCCAGCCACGACCAUGCUAUGGACAAGGCGGCUGCAGCCUUUUACAGCCACUCCGGUGGAGCGGGCUCCUUCUCGGGACCCAAGUACCCGGGCUUCCCGGGCAUGUACGACUUCAGCCAGGGGGCACUGUCGUCCCCAUCUUCGUCACACUUGCUCUGGGAUGACCGAAUGGCCCCCAAGGCGCCCCCGGGGCUGCACCAGCCCAUGCCGGGCUCGUGGGAGGAAGGCCUGGUGCAGGCGCGAGUCGUGUAUGAGGCAUGGAAGCGGGAAGUAGAAGAGGCCAAGCACAGGGAAAAGAUGGCUGAAUGCCAACGAGAUGAGGCCCUGGGUCAGAUGGCUCUACUGCAGAAGGAGCUGGAGGCCCUGGCGUCUGGGCGGGCGGCCGGCUUUGGGCCCCUGCGGCUGCAGGAGCUCGAGAAGCUGCCGGCCACCCAGCUGCGCCUGCUCCAGGAACAGCUGCGGGCCGACCUAGAUGCCGUGGACAAGGUUCUUUACCAGCAGCAGUGCAAGAGCAAGUGCCUGGUAUGCCAGCAGCAUAACCGCAGCGUGGCUGUGCUUCCCUGCAACCACCUGGUGCUGUGCGGCACGUGCGCGGCUGUCACGACCAAGUGCCCCUACUGCAGCUGCGACAUCGCGCGCAACAGCCUGCCCAUGUCCCUGUAGGGCACGUCCCUUCUGAGCCAGCGUCGUGGGAAGGCAUGCAAUCCACUUACGCUCCGUUUUUUAGAAAAAAUUCUCUCUACCCAUCGUGAUGCGAGGGCUUUUGCGUCGAGUCGUGGCCCCCGGGCAGCCUGCAGGAGCUGGUAGUGGGCAGAAGGUGCUGAAGAUGAUGUGUUUUAGCCGCCUCAAGCAGCUCAAACGUGCCGCAGUGUGGGUGGUGGGACUUGACUAACGCACACUUCCAGUUUGAGAGGGUGGCCCCGGCUGUGACGACAUGGGCAAGCGUGUUUCGCCUUAGGUGCGGGCUGUAAGGGCUCCCUGGCCCUCUCCUUUUUCCUUACCCGUGCUGGUGGUUCUGUGCCUGCAUUUGAUCGACCGACGUCCUUUACUUGGGCUGCAGACGACGUAUUAGCAAAUAUGUGUCAUAGUUGAACAGUUCAAAAAAAGUGCACGAACCACUGCGUGCAGUUUACAAGCGCGAUCGUUUCGCGGGACUUGUCGGUGACUGCUGCUGUGCACCGGGUGGCUGCUUUAUGUGCGGCUAAGGCUAAAUUGAGUGUGCAGAAGACAAGCUUUUUGGAGCACGAACUGGUCCCAGAAUGGAAUGGUAGCUAAAGUGCUCUCAGCUGGUGCUUUGUUCUGUCUGUCGCAAACUGGCUAUGAAAGUGCACCGGUCAUGGGAGAUUAGAUCCAAAGAUGUGCUGGUUAGGGCAUAACUAGGGAAGCCACUCUUUAGUUGGCAUACACUUGUUGGUGGUUGCCGCAUCUGAAGACGCACUUUGUUUUUGAGCCCUGCUGAUGAACUGGUUGUCAUAACAGUGGUACUCAACUGUGCUUGAAAAAAAGUUGGAUGUCUGCUGGUUUUAGCCUGCUGGGAAAACUGCGUAACCUUUAUAAAUUCUUCAUUGACUUUCUUUGUACCAGGUUCUUUUAAAGCACUGGUAUCUUUGUCACUGUUGAAUUGUUCGUAACAAUUGCUGGUACCAGCUCUAUGAAUUAUGUUUUUGCUUAUUUCAUUAGAUGAAGUAGGCUGAAAAUCAUAUUAGCAUUCUGUAAUCAGUUACAUCCAGCAGCUUCUGAUUAGAGUACCUUAUUUUAUGUUGACUGUGUUUCCAACAGAUACAGUUGAGUCAGCAAGCAGCAGAUUAAGGGCACGAUCGUAGUCUGUUUUCUGUGUUGUGCUGCUAGAGAUACCAGUCACGGUUUUCAACGAAGUGGUGAUUGUGAUGUUUUUAUUUUCGACCGCUGCAUUGGUAGGUUUUGUGCGUUGAAGAGUGCAUUCUCACAAGUCCUAAGCUG